Molecule: ribosomal RNA, 511 nt
Filed under: uncultured Lachnospiraceae bacterium
Lineage: Bacteria; Bacillati; Bacillota; Clostridia; Lachnospirales; Lachnospiraceae
Description: partial 16S ribosomal RNA
Source: RNAcentral
CACGUAGUUAGCCGGGGCUUCUUAGUCAGGUACUGUCAAGGGCGCUCGCGCGCUUUUUCUUCCCUGCCGAUAGAGCUUUACAUACCGAAAUACUUCUUCACUCACGCGGCGUCGCUGCAUCAGGGUUUCCCCCAUUGUGCAAUAUCCCCCACUGCUGCCUCCCGUAGGAGUUUGGGCCGUGUCUCAGUCCCAAUGCGGCCGGUCACUCUCUCAAGCCGGCUACUGAUCGUCGCUUUGGUAGGCCAUUACCCUGCCAACUGGCUAAUCAGACGCGGGCCCAUCCUGUACCUAUAAAUAUUUGAUGGAAAUAUCAUGCGGUAUCUCCAUGUUAUGCGGUUUUAGCAGCCGUUUCCAACUGUUACUCCCCCUGUACAGGGCAGGUUACCCACGCGUUACUCACCCGUCCGCCUACUAACGUCUUAAUCCUUCCAUACCGAAAACUUCCGACACUAACGACCCCGUUCGACUUGCAUGUGUUAGCACGCCGCACGCGUUCAUCCUGACGCCAGGA